AACGAACGCUGGCGGCAUGCCUAACACAUGCAAGUCGAACGAUCCCUUCGGGGAUAGUGGCGCACGGGUGCGUAACGCGUGGGAACCUGCCCUUAGGUUCGGAAUAACCCAGAGAAAUUUGAGCUAAUACCGGAUAAUGUCUUCGGACCAAAGAUUUAUCGCCUUUGGAUGGGCCCGCGUUGGAUUAGCUAGUUGGUGGGGUAAAGGCCUACCAAGGCGACGAUCCAUAGCUGGUCUGAGAGGAUGAUCAGCCACACUGGGACUGAGACACGGCCCAGACUCCUACGGGAGGCAGCAGUGGGGAAUAUUGGACAAUGGGCGAAAGCCUGAUCCAGCAAUGCCGCGUGAGUGAUGAAGGCCUUAGGGUUGUAAAGCUCUUUUACCCGGGAUGAUAAUGACAGUACCGGGAGAAUAAGCCCCGGCUAACUCCGUG
This 433-nucleotide ribosomal RNA is filed under the name uncultured bacterium. RNAcentral describes it as "partial 16S ribosomal RNA". It matches the Rfam family "Bacterial small subunit ribosomal RNA", at positions 29 to 507 of the family's 1533-position model. The record is from RNAcentral.